This 833-nucleotide long non-coding RNA is filed under the name Cicer arietinum (chickpea). Its description in RNAcentral is "long non-coding RNA (CARI_LNC003641)". Lineage: Eukaryota; Viridiplantae; Streptophyta; Magnoliopsida; Fabales; Fabaceae. The record is from RNAcentral.
AGCUAUCACAAAAGGGUAGAAAGUUGAUAUUUGUGCACAGGCGACAAGGAAUCCAACAUCAAAUAAGUUGGUGAUGAAUGGUGAUGCUCAAUUAUUUCUAUGUGUGCUUGUAGCUAAAAUUCCAAAUAAUUCAGUUGGACUUCGAGCGAUGGUUUGGGAAUUUAAUGUGGCUUGCCUGUUCGAUGUGAGUGCUCUAAGGCCCCAAGCCAUCCUUGCACAAAGAUUGUCGUACUUGUUUAUAGUUUUUGGUUUUUGUGCUUCUAUGAUGACUAAAGACAAGAAAUUAUUUUUUAGAGGUCGAGAUACUUUUUUCUAGGGUAUUAGAGUUGGAAACAUAAAAGAUCCACAAUGAGAACACUAUCAUCGAUUUGAAGGAAAAAUUGGAUCACGCUGAAAAACUUAUUUCUGAUGCUAACGAGAAGCUAAGGAUGAUUGAAGAUAAUCUUGCCUCUUUGAAGAAGGAAAACACAAAACUAACUAUAGAACGAGAAACAUAAGAAAGGGAGGAAGUUUGAGUUGUGUUUAAAAAAAAACAUUUUAACAAGAUUAAAACAAAAUGAUGAAAACAAAACAGAUAAACACGCCCAAUUUAUCCUAGUUCACGAUCAACACAAUAGCUACGGCUAGUCCUUUCAAAUAUGAAGGAUUUAAUCUACUAAUUCACCAACUGAAUCACACUUCCACUAAACAUCUGCUAGUCAAAUUGAAUGUGUUAAAGUAUUCUCAACUUUCUAACUUAGUACGUUCAAGCUAUUGAAGAACGCAACCACUAAUGGGCUAGGUUACAAAAAUGAGAGGUUUAAGGGUUGCUGAAUAACUCUCACAAGAUGGUG